CGCUGAGUUUGAUCCUGGCUCAGGAUGAACGCUAGCGGCAGGCUUAACACAUGCAAGUCGAGGGGUAUAAGUCUUCGGAUUUAGAGACCGGCGCACGGGUGCGUAACGCGUAUGCAAUCUACCUUUUACAGAGGGAUAGCCCAGAGAAAUUUGGAUUAAUACCUCAUAGCAUAACGAGUUGGCAUCAACUUGUUAUUAAAGUCACAACGGUAAAAGAUGAGCAUGCGUCCCAUUAGCUAGUUGGUAAGGUAACCGGCUUACCAAGGCUACGAUGGGUAGGGGUCCUGAGAGGGACGAUCCCCCGACACUGGUACUGAGACACGGACCAGACUCCGUACGGGAG
Molecule: ribosomal RNA, 343 nt
Filed under: uncultured Flavobacterium sp.
Lineage: Bacteria; Pseudomonadati; Bacteroidota; Flavobacteriia; Flavobacteriales; Flavobacteriaceae
Description: bacterial SSU rRNA
Rfam family: Bacterial small subunit ribosomal RNA
Source: RNAcentral